RNAcentral lists this unclassified non-coding RNA (235 nucleotides) under plant metagenome. RNAcentral describes it as "partial contains small subunit ribosomal RNA, internal transcribed spacer 1, and 5.8S ribosomal RNA". The stretch from base 1 to 54 matches the Rfam family "Eukaryotic small subunit ribosomal RNA", at positions 1778 to 1831 of the family's 1831-position model. The record is from RNAcentral.
GGAAGUAAAAGUCGUGACAAGGUUUCCGUAGGUGAACCUGCGGAAGGAUCAUUCAUAAUAAGUGUUUUAUGGCACUUUUUUAAAUCCAUAUCCACCUUGUGUGCAAUGUCAGGGUUGAUUUUUCUCUCGAGAGGAUCAACCCCAAACAUCAACUAUAUCUCAACUCUUUGUCUGAAAAAUAUUAUGAAUAAAACAAUUCAAAAUACAACUUUCAACAACGGAUCUCUUGGCUCUC